CAUUCCCUACGGGGGGCAGCAGUGAGGAAUAUUGGUCAAUGGGCGCAAGCCUGAACCAGCCAAGUCGCGUGAGGGAUGACGGUCCUAUGGAUUGUAAACCUCUUUUGUCGGGGAGCAAGGCCCGCCACGUGUGGCGGGAAGGAGAGUACCCGAAGAAAAAGCAUCGGCUAACUCCGUGCCAGCAGCCGCGGUAAUACGGAGGAUGCGAGCGUUAUCCGGAUUUAUUGGGUUUAAAGGGUGCGUAGGCGGAAGGUUAAGUCAGCGGUCAAAUGUCGGUGCUCAACCCCGGCCUGCCGUGGAAACUG
Molecule: ribosomal RNA, 305 nt
Filed under: uncultured bacterium
Lineage: Bacteria
Description: bacterial SSU rRNA
Rfam family: Bacterial small subunit ribosomal RNA
Source: RNAcentral